GACAACGUGGCCGAGUGGUUAAGGCGGUAGACUCGAAAUCUACUGGGGUCUCCCCGCGCAGGUUCAAAUCCUGCCGUUGUCG
Molecule: transfer RNA, 82 nt
Organism: Acanthamoeba castellanii str. Neff
Lineage: Eukaryota; Discosea; Longamoebia; Acanthamoebidae
Rfam family: tRNA
About the family: Transfer RNA (tRNA) molecules are approximately 80 nucleotides in length.
Source: Rfam